UGGAGCUUGCUGGUUACAUGAUGGAUUCACAGUGCAGGCUUGCUAAACUGAGCACCCAAACACAUGUGCCAAACCAGGUCCCUUGCUAGCGCACCCACGCGCACCUAGGCACCCCUGCCACUCCAUGCUCCUCGCCCUUUUCACUCGUUGCAGGUGGAUGAAAUGCUCCAUGCGCCCUUUGCAUGCAUCCACGCAUACCGUACAUACACAUAUAGCUCUAACACACUUCCCAUGCAUCUGCAUUGCUUGCCCUCUCCAUCCCCUCCAGCGCCUCCCCCACCUCGAACGUGGCAUACCCUUAACCCACCUCGAACGUGGCAUACCACUCCUCAGACCAUAUCGUACGUCAUUUGCACUAGGUUACUACUGCAAUUAAGAACGCCCGCACGUAAGAACAGCAAUCGCCGGUUCCAUUGCAGUAGUCGGGGCGCAUGCCGCCCGUGGAAAGGGUGGCGAAAGGUCCUUCGACUUGACGUACGUGCCGCACAGAACGCACCAGCCCUUCUCGACGCCCAUUGCAGCGAACGCCUGCAUGCACAACAGAGAACCCAAUUCAUACACCUCAGAUAACAGCAAGUAAUGGUUAGGAAUGUGGGUCGAUGACAUGCAAUCGGCACGCCACCACCAGACCGGGCGUUGUUAACCACAGGGAACUAGCCCUAUGUUGACCAUAUGCUCAUAUGAUAACGAAACACAAUGUGGGCACGGCUGUAUGCAUGCGUUUGCCCGGGGCCAGUGCAUCCCGAUGCUGCGAGCUGACAUUGACGAGUGUGGUGGGAACGAAUGCGUACGUAGACCAGAGCGGACGGCGGAGUGGGCUUGGCUGGCGUGCCGUAGGUGCGCUCGGCCCUCCAUCCAGUCAAUCGGCAUCCUGAGUAUACUAGAAAUAGCGGAACGAGCCAAGGCAAACAAUUUAUGACGUGCAAGGAAUGUUGCAUGGCGCCCCGAGUUCGAAACUGCAUUGGUUAACUGCAGUGCGCUGCAGGUGCCAUGAUCCCUGGUGUUGAUGCAUGUGGUGCUGGUAGCGGGUACCAAAAGCUGGCCCCUCUGCACCCGGACCCCCGCUUCAAACUGCGAGCUAAAAUCCUGGACGCGCGGGCAACGCUUUGCAGAUUUCGUCCGUGACCACCUCGUUGAUAUGGUAUAGGUAAUAGCGGAAAGGCUUGAUACAGGUAUAAGAAGCAGCAGAGCGUUAAAAUGUGAAGCAACCAAAGCCAGCGACGCCUCAGAUGAUAUGCCCGAUGCGCUAGGCUAAAUAUAGGAGCAAAGGAUAGCCCAUAUCAUUCAUCGGAACAAGACUAAGGGCGGUGCCGGCGACCCUACCGUCAGAGCAGAGCCCUCCAGCGCCCAGAGCAGCCAACAGCGACCGCCUUGUCCGCUUCGCUCCAUCUACUUCGUAACACUUCUAGAUGGUCACCUGGCGCACCGGGCGCUGCAUCGAGGCCGGAAAUGCGGUAAUGCUGUUCACAUGGUCAAGUUUCGUCAAAGGCCAGUAAACUAGUCGCCCGGCGCGCCAGGGGUCUUCUAUGGGGUACUCCUUAUAGGUCUAUGCAAAGAAAUCGGGCCGGGGCCUGGUCGCAACUGGGAAUUGGGGGCGGUUGCCGACCGUUACCGAUCACAUGGGCCGAGUUGGCCACCCCGCACCCCUGACUUGCGUCGUGUAAUUGCAAGUCUUGGCCGAUCUCACCACCAUUUGCCCCGCCGCACUUAAGGGCUUCUUCUCUGGGUGCCGAGCCGUGUCUCACCACACGGAGACGGAUGCUAUCAUACAAUUUCUCGACCUUGCGCGGGCCUUUCACGCGCCUUGUGUUCAUCUAGGCAAAGCGUCGUCCACCGCUUUGACCUGAGCGCCACAUGGCUACCUGGGCAAGGUGAUUUAAAUGGAUUGAAAAUGCCGCGACUAUGCUGUGGCGUAAUUGCAGAGUUGUAGAUUGCACCAGCGCUUUGCAGCGGCUGUGCGUGGCUAGCAGACCCCGUGUUACUGGGGUUUUAUUUUGCUCCGCGGUCGCUAUGCCGCAACACGCGCUUGCCAAACCCUAUCGCGAACUUCGCGUUUCCUCAAGCUCCUAAGACCGCCCCAAUGCCUUUGCGACCUCUCUUGUGAUUUGACAUCGCUUUCGUUGCAUCCGAUAGGCCAUGGAUGCAGUACCUCGGGCCCUUUAC
This 2163-nucleotide long non-coding RNA is filed under the name Chlamydomonas reinhardtii. RNAcentral describes it as "long non-coding RNA (CREI_LNC000036)". Lineage: Eukaryota; Viridiplantae; Chlorophyta; Chlorophyceae; Chlamydomonadales; Chlamydomonadaceae. The record is from RNAcentral.